GCGGAGAGGCAGGCAGGUCUAGAUGCAGAUGGUCUGUUUCCCCUAACAACAGCAAGGGCGGCGAGGAGAAAUCCUUGUCUCCGCCAGCUCCCGGCCAGACUCGUAAUCAGGCCACUAAUGACAGCGGGGAGCGUAAAAGUUCUCUUCCCUACCCACCUCACGUGAUGCGGUGACACAGAACGAAAUUCACAACACACAUGGAGAAAAGGAAAACAACCAAUCCUUCCCCAGAAUGGAACAGCUAAGAGCCAACGCUACUGAAAAGCAUGGGGCAGGCAUCUCCACUGAGUGCCAGGAAGAAGCCAGGUGAAGACCCAGGAAAUAAAUCAAAAAAGGGACAGCCUUUGAGCUGGUCCCUGACCAAGAAUUCCACAUAAGAGAUUCCAUUUACCUACUUUAAUAACAUGAAUCGCAAAACUCUUAUUC
RNAcentral lists this non-coding RNA (426 nucleotides) under Pongo abelii (Sumatran orangutan). The record is from RNAcentral. Lineage: Eukaryota; Metazoa; Chordata; Mammalia; Primates; Hominidae.